AAAGAAAAUUAUUAUUUAAGCAUUUUAUAAUUUCUAAAGGAGUUUAGAAUAAAACUUGUUAGGUAUUUUUUGCCCCCAGGAGAUAGAACAGAACUGUGGCAGGCAUUGUAGAGAUGAGCCCACUGUAUGUACCUCCAAGAAGAGCAGCUGGCUUGAUCAUAGACAGGUCAGGGAAAAUAGCUGUGCCAGAAAAGAAUCAAUGGAGCGUGAACCACAGGCAAAGAAAAACAAUCCUAAUGAACUCUUCCCCCUCCUCCCCAGAGCCCUGGAGAAUGUAUUCAUUUCAUUUAUUUGGUGCAGAAAAUAUCCUGAUUCUGUAUCACGGUUGCAUAGAUUCUACAUAUGGAUUCUGUAGAAGUCUAUAGAGUUGGAAGGAAAUUCGGAAGUCAUGGAAGAGGAUAGAGUGAAUGACUAUGAGUGUAUAGAGGUAAUAUAAUAAUAAUAGCUAGUAUUAUAUAAGUUUGUAUAGUGCUUUACAAAUAUUAUCUCACUUGAUCCUCACAACACCCAUGGGAGGUAAAUGUUAUUAUUAUCUCCAUUUUACAGGUAAGGAAACUGAGGUUAAGUGACUUUCCCAGGGUGACACCUGGUAAACGUCUGAGGCAGGAUUUGAACUCAGGUCUACUUUGAUCUGUCUGGCUACCUAGGUAUACAUACAUUGACACUUAUUUCUACUUCUCAUCUAGUACAGAAGCAUUUAAGUGCUUUUAUUGGGAGAACAACAUAUUGUCUGCGAUGACUUCCCAAAUUCUGGCUUUGAACGAAACCUCUACUUAAUUUGAGAAACUUAACUUCCACACCUUCAAUUUUACUUAAUGACACCUUCAAUUUUACUUAAUGACAGUGUGUACAAGUGGAUCAGCCUCACUCACUACUUUUGGGAAACCUUAAAUUGAGGUUGGGGCACCCAAGGCUGAUGAUGAAUUUUUUUUUUUAAAUUGUGGAGGUAUCAGCUUCAGCUGUAACCUUUUUUAUACCUGACAUUCUUCAGGAAUGGUAAUAGGACCCUUUUAGAUGUCAUUAGGGCAGUUAGGUGGCACAGUAGAUAGAGUGCUGGGCCCAGAGUCAGGAAGACUCAUCUCGCUGAGUUCAAAUCUGGCCUCAGACACUGUCGCUGUGUGACAUUGGCUAAGUCACUUAACCCGGAUUGUCUCAGUUUUCUCAUCUAUAAAAUGAGCUGGAGAAGGAAAUGGCAAACCACUCCAGUAUCUUUGCCAAGAAAAUCCCAAAUGGGAUCAUGAAGAGUCAGAUAUUACUGAAAAACAACAAGAUUGGUUUAUAUCAAUCCAGGAAAAGAAUAGCAGACCACAUACAAUUUUUGCCAUUCGGCUGGUGCUUUCUUAAGAAAUGAAUUAGGGGGGGGGG
RNAcentral lists this long non-coding RNA (1365 nucleotides) under Phascolarctos cinereus (koala). RNAcentral's name for it is "lncRNA (ENSPCIG00000019263.2)". The record is from RNAcentral. Lineage: Eukaryota; Metazoa; Chordata; Mammalia; Diprotodontia; Phascolarctidae.